Molecule: ribosomal RNA, 254 nt
Filed under: uncultured bacterium
Lineage: Bacteria
Description: partial 16S ribosomal RNA
Rfam family: Bacterial small subunit ribosomal RNA
Source: RNAcentral
UACAGAGGUCCCAAGCGUUGUUCGGAUUCACUGGGCGUAAAGGGUGCGUAGGCGGUCGGGUAAGUCUGAUGUGAAAUCUCACAGCUUAACUGUGAAACUGCAUUGGAUACUAUUCGGCUUGAGAGUUGGAGGGGGGACUGGAAUUCUUGGUGUAGCAGUGAAAUGCGUAGAUAUCAAGAGGAACACCAGUGGCGAAGGCGAGUCCCUGGACAACUUCUGACGCUGAGGCACGAAAGCUAGGGGAGCAAACAGGA